UACGUAGGGGGCAAGCGUUGUCCGGAUUCAUUGGGCGUAAAGAGCUCGUAGGCGGCUUGGCAAGUCGGGUGUGAAACCUCCAGGCUCAACCUGGAGACGCCACCCGAGACUGCUAUGGCUAGAGUCCGGUAGGGGAUCACGGAAUUCCUGGUGUAGCGGUGAAAUGCGUAGAUAUCGAGAGGAAUACCAAAGGCGAAGGCAGGUCACUGGGCAGUUACUGACACUGAGGCACGAAGGCUAGGGGAGCAAACGGG
Molecule: ribosomal RNA, 254 nt
Filed under: uncultured bacterium
Lineage: Bacteria
Description: partial 16S ribosomal RNA
Rfam family: Bacterial small subunit ribosomal RNA
Source: RNAcentral